Molecule: ribosomal RNA, 518 nt
Filed under: uncultured Eubacteriales bacterium
Lineage: Bacteria; Bacillati; Bacillota; Clostridia; Eubacteriales
Description: bacterial SSU rRNA
Rfam family: Bacterial small subunit ribosomal RNA
Source: RNAcentral
CGUUCAGAGACGUUUUGGUAUCCUUCGGCGUCAGGAGUGAACGCUCGGCGGCGUGCCUAACACAUGCAAGUCGAACGGGUGCGGCGGUGCGGGCAGGGGUCUCGGCCUCUGCGGCGUCGCGCGAGUGGCGGACGGGUGAGUAACGCGUGGGCAACCUGCCCUGUACUGGGGGAUAACACCUGGAAACAGGUGCUAAUACCGCAUAAGCGCGCUGUGCCGCAUGGCGCGGCGCGGAAAACCCCGGUGGUACAGGAUGGGCCCGCGUCUGAUUAGCUGGUUGGCAGGGUAACGGCCUACCAAGGCGACGAUCAGUAGCCGGCCUGAGAGGGUGGACGGCCACACUGGGACUGAGACACGGCCCAGACUCCUACGGGAGGCAGCAGUGGGGGAUAUUGCACAAUGGGGGGAACCCUGAUGCAGCGACGCCGCGUGGGUGAAGGAGCGUUUCGGCGCGUAAAGCCCUAUCGGCAGGGAAGAAGAUGACGGUACCUGACCAAGAAGUCCCGGCUAACUACGUG